Molecule: ribosomal RNA, 253 nt
Filed under: uncultured bacterium
Lineage: Bacteria
Description: partial 16S ribosomal RNA
Rfam family: Bacterial small subunit ribosomal RNA
Source: RNAcentral
UACAGAGGUCCCAAGCGUUGUUCGGAUUCACUGGGCGUAAAGGGUGCGUAGGCGGUCGGGUAAGCCUGAUGUGAAAUCUCACAGCUUAACUGUGAAACUGCAUUGGAUACUAUCCGGCUAGAGGAAUGGAGGGGAGACUGGAAUACUUGGUGUAGCAGUGAAAUGCGUAGAUAUCAGGAGGAACACCGAUGGCGAAGGCAGGUCUCUGGGCCACUACUGACGCUGAGAAGCGAAAGCGUGGGGAGCGAACAGG